GCCCUGAAGAGGUGCACCAGAAAAACUGCAGGAGGGAGAAGAUUUCCUUCAGAUGUUUCCACUUCGGUCCAGGAAACUAGACUCCAUUGCAAGUAACAGGAGACGAGUACUGUGGGAAGCAGAUUCCUCUUUCUAACGGAUCAGCAACAUAACGAUGCUUUUGCCUGAGUGGAUGGAAGGUGCUGGGGAAAUGGGCGCUGCUACCAUCAGGUCUGUGUUGCUCUCCAGCACCACAUUUCUUCCCAGUCCUGUUCAACAACAUCCACAGACUGUCAUGAGAGCACGUGGCUGCAAAUGCCAGGGACGUGCUCAUGAUGCAAUUAUCCAUUUCUCUGUACGAAUGCAGCACUGUCACUUGAGUGCAAUAAAGGAAAACACUUAUAGCAAACCAGGAUGUUGCAAUGGGUACGUAGCUUUUCCUGACCAAGGAGAAAGCACAACACACAGCGCGAUGAUGUUGCUUAACCUACAACGCACUCUUGGCUAAGAGAUGAGAUGGUACGCAGCAUGGCUGACUCGAAUUUCUGGUUCUACUUUCUAUUUUCCCUCGUCAUCAACCACAUGGCUGGAAGUUACAGGAGACAGCCGGGAGUGUGGCUGGCUGGAAGUGGAGGGAGAGAUUGCUCAUACACAGCUAUGAGAAACACGAGGUUACAGAAGUGACAGUUCCAGUGAGGAAAAACUUCCCCAAACUAGUUUGAACGAGCGUUUUUAGAUGAAUCUAAGCAAAUCUCUGGGAUCGUUAUAUUAAAUC
Long non-coding RNA from Gymnogyps californianus (California condor), 754 nucleotides. RefSeq lists it as uncharacterized. NCBI's taxonomy places the organism in Eukaryota, Metazoa, Chordata, Aves, Accipitriformes, Cathartidae. The transcript has 2 exons. The record is from RefSeq and is a predicted model, not a curated record.